Molecule: ribosomal RNA, 574 nt
Filed under: Scinax fuscomarginatus (brown-bordered snouted treefrog)
Lineage: Eukaryota; Metazoa; Chordata; Amphibia; Anura; Hylidae
Description: partial 16S ribosomal RNA
Rfam family: Bacterial large subunit ribosomal RNA
Source: RNAcentral
CGCCUCUUGAAUAAAAAUAAGAGGUCUAGCCUGCCCAGUGACUAAUAUUCAACGGCCGCGGUAUCCUAACCGUGCGAAGGUAGCGUAAUCACUUGUUCUUUAAAUGGGGACUAGUAUGAAUGGCAUCACGAGGGUUAUACUGUCUCCUUUUUCUAAUCAGUGAAUCUAAUCUCCCCGUGAAGAAACGGGGAUACACCUACAAGACGAGAAGACCCUAUGGAGCUUUAAAUACCUCUUCAAACGUUGGACCUCCUCCCCAGUUUUAAACUCACCCAUAAUAACCCCGUACGCUAUGAAGACAACUUUAGGUUGGGGUGACCGCGGAGUACAACAUAACCUCCACGCUGAAUCAGACUCUUUAAGCCUGAGCCAAGAGCCACUGCUCAAAGCACUAAGAAAUUAACAUUUAUUGACCCAAAACAUUUGAUCAACGAACCAAGUUACCCUAGGGAUAACAGCGCAAUCCAUUUCAAGAGUCCAUAUCGACAAAUGGGUUUACGACCUCGAUGUUGGAUCAGGGUAUCCCAGUGGUGCAGCCGCUACUAAUGGUUCGUUUGUUCAACGAUUAAAACCC